GGGUCUAGCAGUUUCUGAAAUAACCAAAAGUCCUUGAAAUCGCUUGUAUUUUUUAUUUAUUUAGGUAAGGGCAACAUCUAAGCUUGACAUGCUUGAACGCCAAGCGCGCACCACGAUUUUAAUUUUUGCGACACGAUUUUAGAAUCGCGCUGUAAUAUAUCGCAGAAAAUUCACUGCGCGCACUGCGAUGAAA
Long non-coding RNA from Cydia splendana, 193 nucleotides. RefSeq lists it as uncharacterized. NCBI's taxonomy places the organism in Eukaryota, Metazoa, Arthropoda, Insecta, Lepidoptera, Tortricidae. The record is from RefSeq and is a predicted model, not a curated record. The transcript is spliced from 3 exons.